GCACUCUUAAAAUCAUUCAGUUCUAAGUAUUUUCUGAUACUUUCUUGUAUGGUGUCUUCUUUGAUCAGUUUAGCAGUAACUAUAUUUAAAGUUUUUCCAACAUACAGGGUAUUUUAAGGUGUUGCUGUUACUGUUCUUACUGUCCUCCAGUUAUAAUGAGACACCCAAUGCGGAACCUCUCACCUCAGUCCAGCACAGAUUCCCAUCUCCACUACUGUUCAUUCAUGUUUGCUCUGCAAGGAUCUAUCUGUCCAUCUCUGCCUAGGAAAUGACUAUUCUGAAUUCAAGGCACUCACUGAACAUGUGCUAGAUGAGAACUCACCAUGGAUGAAGCACUGGGUACUGGACAAGGGGCAAGAUCAGCGAGGAGGAAAAAGCUGGAAGACAGAAGGCAGCGUAUCUUCUGAUGACCACUCCAAAUGGAAAUAUCAUUUCCAAAAUAGACUGUAAGCUCCAUGAGAGCAGUAACAGGGUCUGACUUGUCCACUGCUGGAUCCCUAGUUGUG
Molecule: long non-coding RNA, 506 nt
Filed under: Homo sapiens (human)
Lineage: Eukaryota; Metazoa; Chordata; Mammalia; Primates; Hominidae
Description: HSALNT0005422
Source: RNAcentral